This is a long non-coding RNA of Hippocampus zosterae (dwarf seahorse), 616 nucleotides long. RefSeq lists it as uncharacterized. The record is from RefSeq and is a predicted model, not a curated record. The transcript is spliced from 4 exons. Lineage: Eukaryota; Metazoa; Chordata; Actinopteri; Syngnathiformes; Syngnathidae.
UCGAAUCCCUGAGACCGACUCACCGAACCCCUGGAGUUCGAUCGAACCCAGGUUAAGAAACACUGGUCUGGACAAUAAAAACAAUGAGGAGAUAUUCCUUCAAGGAAAGCUCAGAAAUAAGCACAUCUGUAAAACAGGUUUCCACCGUAAUCAUCCACCAGUUUGAAGCGUGAGAGGGCAUCCAGGUGGCUCAGGUUGUGGUUUAUAGAGCAGCACUGCAUGGGGCCAUCCCUCUGAUGCCAGCGGGGGCCCAUGCAGGUGGUGGGCCCACCGCAGUCUCCUCAUCAAGCAAGUCGCAUCGGCACAAUGAAUGGACUCAAAACCCCAUUCUUUGUGGUGGAGGGGAGGUGGCAAGGGGUCCCUGCUGGCCUCCUCUGCUGCUUGUUCGACAAUCAGCUGCCAGCUCACCUCACCCAAUAUAAUCUUCUCCCCAAAAUGUCUCCAUAGUGGCAGCUAAGAACUGAUUUCCAGAUGAAUUACCAGCGAGCAUUCAUUUGCCAGUGUUUGACGCCGCCAUCUGUCCCCUGGAUACAUGGAAUAUGUAUGAUUGCCCUUCUCCACGCCUGCUCCUAUUUCAGCAGCAACUCUCUACCCAGCUUUCUAGCUCUGUCACACA